AUACGUAGGGGGCAAGCGUUAUCCGGAUUUACUGGGUGUAAAGGGAGCGUAGACGGCAUGGCAAGUCUGAAGUGAAAUGCGGGGGCUCAACCCCUGAACUGCUUUGGAAACUGUUAAGCUAGAGUGUCGGAGAGGUAAGUGGAAUUCCUAGUGUAGCGGUGAAAUGCGUAGAUAUUAGGAGGAACACCAGUUGCGAAGGCGGCUUACUGGACUGUAACUGACACUGAGGCACGAAAGCGUGGGGAGCAAACAGGAUUAGAUACCCUGGUAGUCCACGCUGUAAACGAUGAAUACUAGGUGUAGGGGGUAUCAACUCCCUCUGUGCCGCAGCAAACGCAAUAAGUAUUCCGCCUGGGGAGUACGGCCGCAAGGUUGAAACUCAAAUGAAUUGGCGGGG
This 397-nucleotide ribosomal RNA is filed under the name uncultured bacterium. RNAcentral's name for it is "partial 16S ribosomal RNA". It matches the Rfam family "Bacterial small subunit ribosomal RNA", at positions 523 to 918 of the family's 1533-position model. The record is from RNAcentral.